This 67-nucleotide transfer RNA is filed under the name Fieberiella septentrionalis. RNAcentral describes it as "tRNA-Ile". The record is from RNAcentral. Lineage: Eukaryota; Metazoa; Arthropoda; Insecta; Hemiptera; Cicadellidae.
GAUAAGAUGCCUGAUUAAAGGAUUAUUAUGAUAUAAUAAAUAAUGUAAUUAAUAAUUACUCUUAUUG